RNAcentral lists this ribosomal RNA (253 nucleotides) under uncultured bacterium. RNAcentral's name for it is "partial 16S ribosomal RNA". It matches the Rfam family "Bacterial small subunit ribosomal RNA", at positions 524 to 776 of the family's 1533-position model. The record is from RNAcentral.
UACGGAGGGGGCUAGCGUUGUCCGGAUUUAUUGGGUUUAAAGGGUGCGUAGGUGGGUUCUCAAGUCUGGUUUGAAAGUUAGCUGCUCAACAGUUAGACGUGGCUGGAAACUGGGGUUCUAGAAUGGGUUGGCGGCUGGCGGAACGGGUCAUGUAGCGGUGAAAUUCAUAGAUAUUACCCAGAACACCGAUUGCGAAGGCAGGCAGCUACGACCUGAUUGACACUGAGGCGCGAGAGCAUGGGUAGCGAACAGG